UUGAGCGAUUUACUUCGGUAAAGAGCGGCGGACGGGUGAGUAACGCGUGGGUAACCUACCCUGUACACACGGAUAACAUACCGAAAGGUAUGCUAAUACGGGAUAAUAUAUUUGAGAGGCAUCUCUUAAAUAUCAAAGGUGAGCCAGUACAGGAUGGACCCGCGUCUGAUUAGCUAGUUGGUAAGGUAACGGCUUACCAAGGCGACGAUCAGUAGCCGACCUGAGAGGGUGAUCGGCCACAUUGGAACUGAGACACGGUCCAAACUCCUACGGGAGGCAGCAGUGGGGAAUAUUGCACAAUGGGCGAAAGCCUGAUGCAGCAACGCCGCGUGAGUGAUGAAGGCCUUCGGGUCGUAAAACUCUGUCCUCAAGGAAGAUAAUGACGGUACUUGAGGAGGAAGCCCCGGCUAACUACGUGCCAGCAGCCGCGGUAAUACGUAGGGGGCUAGCGUUAUCCGGAUUUACUGGGCGUAAAGGGUGCG
This 482-nucleotide ribosomal RNA is filed under the name uncultured bacterium. RNAcentral's name for it is "bacterial SSU rRNA". It matches the Rfam family "Bacterial small subunit ribosomal RNA", at positions 62 to 571 of the family's 1533-position model. The record is from RNAcentral.